GGGACGAGCCCAGCACCGAAUCCCCCGGCAUGCAGCCGGCGGGAAAUGUGGUGUGUGGGACGCCAACUGUCGUCCGCGCUGGAGACCGAAGUCCUCCUGAUCGGGGCCUCUCCCACAGCGGGUGUCAGGCCUUUACUGGUCUCUGGCCGGGCGGCUGCGAGCGUCUCAGGAGUCGGGUUGUUUGGGAAUGCAGCCCAAAGGGGGGGGGAAACUCCAUCUAAG
Molecule: ribosomal RNA, 222 nt
Filed under: Heterogen longispira
Lineage: Eukaryota; Metazoa; Mollusca; Gastropoda; Architaenioglossa; Viviparidae
Description: partial 28S rRNA
Rfam family: Eukaryotic large subunit ribosomal RNA
Source: RNAcentral